UAUAUUUUACCCAAAGAAUGCUAAUACAGGGAAAAUAGUUGAUGCAAUUUUCGAAAUAUAUUGCAGAAGAAAGAGAUGCAACUUUAUGCUGACUGAAUCGACAGCCAAAGGCAGAAGCAAGUAAUGUAUUCUCCUUGACAUGAACACCAUGUACAAAAAACAAAAGUGAUCAACAAAAUUUGUCGCUCAUUUUAUUGACAAAAGUGUUUUGUAGACCAUGUGUGGUAUAAUGCCCAAUGUCACGAUUACGACUGGGAAAAGAAGAUGAAUUUAAGUCAUCAGGAAAGAAUUAGCAAUCUAGUACCGCAGCCAGUAUGUCCUGCGUCUGAACCAAUUGUAAUCAGGCAAAUCUUGAAUUGGUCCCCUAGCUGAUAUUGCAACAUCCCUGUCAAAAAUAAAACGAUUUGCAACUCGCUUGAUCGUUCCAGCAUCGACACUGUCAAUUCUGGAAAAUAACUCAGCAUAUGGAAUUCUGCGGCCAUAUGUGAUUAACUGCCGUCCAAUGUCUUCAGCAGUAGGGCCUGAUCCAUCAAUGUGGAGCAUCAAAGAAGAUUUCAGCUGAUUACGUGCGCGAACCACAUCAGCAUCAGACACUUUGUAACUUAACUUGCAUAUACCAUUCAUGAUGACAUAAGCCAAGUCACUCAGGCAAUCAGGCUUAGCUUCAGCAUAGACACCAAACAGCCCUGUAUCUUUAUAGUUGGUGUUAAAAGCCAUCACACUUUCAGCUAGCUCAUUGAUGGCCACCCUCUGAACAAGCUCUGAACCCAUGUGCUUUCCUCCUCCUGAACUUUUGCUCCAUGAUCCGAGCAUUUGUUGCAUGACCAUCAAAGCUAUGGAAUCAGGGUCUGUCCAUGACGCUCCACUAAAUGCAACAGCAAAUUGAGCGAGAGGCAGAUCAUCAUCAAUGAUACGUAUCUCUGAACCUGUAAAUAUUGCUGGCUCUUCUGACACCAAUUGGGAAGUGGUAAUAGGAUUAGAUGAUAGUUUUGUAAAAUGUUUCUUCACUAGCUCAACAACUUCUUCAUGCUUCACAGCUCCGGCAGCAGAAAUUACCAUUCUAUGAGCACCAUAGUGGGUUGAAAUGUAAUCUUGUAUAUGAGCUCUUGUCAUUUUCUCAAUGUUCUGAGCAGGUCCAAGAAUAGUUCUACCCAAUGGAGUGUAUUGGAAUGCAGUAGUAUGUAACUGGUCAAAGAUGACUUCCUCGGGUUGUUUUUCCACCUCUUCCAUUUCGCGAAGAAUCACACUACGCUCUCGAAUAAUCUUAUCUUCCUCCAAUAGAGAAUUCUGCAAAAUAUCCCCAAGAAUAUCAACUGCCUUAGGCACAUCAGAUCCCAAAACUUUGGCGAAAUAAGUAGUUUGCUCCCUAGAAGUAUAAGCAUUCAAAUGCCCUCCCAUAUUCUCAAUUUCCUCUUCCAAUGCCCUAAUUGGCCUCUUCUCAGUUCCUUUAAAAAUCAUAUGCUCAAGGAAAUGAGCAACGCCAUUAUUCUCCUCAGUUUCGAAUCGCG
This 1508-nucleotide unclassified non-coding RNA is filed under the name Hevea brasiliensis (rubber tree). The record is from RNAcentral. Lineage: Eukaryota; Viridiplantae; Streptophyta; Magnoliopsida; Malpighiales; Euphorbiaceae.